UGUAGGAGUGAGCCUGCUCGCGAUGGCGUAGUGUCAGUUGACUUCAAUGCGGCUGAUAUACCGCUAUCGCGAGCAGGCUCACUCCUACA
This 89-nucleotide non-coding RNA is filed under the name Pseudomonas sp. 29. The record is from RNAcentral. Lineage: Bacteria; Pseudomonadati; Pseudomonadota; Gammaproteobacteria; Pseudomonadales; Pseudomonadaceae.